UUUGAAUCUAGGAGCAGUUCCAUUAGCAACACCAAUGAUCCCCGCGCUCCUGGCCGGCCUCGCUCGCCGCGCGACGACCCCGCCGUCGGCAAGGCUGAACAAAGCACAACUCCUCGUCCGGGGCCUCCCUCUCCCAGCCUGCACCGCCGUCGCCCUCAUAGCCUCGCCCCAUUUUCCGCAUUCCGCACCACGCCCGCGCCGUCCCCGCCGCUUCUGAGAGCGUGUAAUUCUGGACCGCCGCCAUCGCUGAUUAUGCCAGCCAUGCCUCAUCUUCGGCGGCGGCGGCCGAGCAGGCGCUCACGCUGUUGUGGCUCAUGCUUCGGCGUGUCGUCCCUCGCCGAACGCCUUAAUGGUGAGCUCCGUGGUCAGGUGCUGCUCGGCGCUGCCGGCUGUUUGAGUCGGGAUCUAAGUGCACCGGUUCUUGGUGAAUUCUGGACUUAGAUGCGCUGCGCACGUGGGCGUCGGGUUGGUUUGACAUGUGCGACAACCUUGGCCUGGUAGCGGAUGCGAGGAGGGUGUUCGACGAAAUGGCUACCACAAGCGUGGUGCUGGGGAAUACCAUGGUGGCGUGCUACGUCAGGUCAGGGGAUAUGUAAGCUAGCUGCUCGGAUGUGUUUCACAUGAUGGCGAAAGGGACCCAAUCUCUUGGAACACACUGAUGAUGGGGUACUUGCGGCAUGGGGAAGCAUGUAUGGCAAGGGAGUCGUUUGAAGAGAUGCCGGAGAGGGAUGCCGAAUGCCAAUAGCUAGAGAAUGGUGAUUGUUGCAUGCUCGCAGCGUUCAAUCGGAUGCGCCUCGCAAGGUUCCAACCUGAUCCCGCGAUGAUGGAUGUGCUGAUGUCCGCGGUCCGCCUGUGCACAACUUUGUUCUUUGUCCGUUCCAAGACAGGUGCAUGGGAUUUUGAGCAAAAACUGUGUCAAAAUGAAUUUUCAUGUGCCGAAUUCAUUGAUCGACAUUCUUUACUAGUUUUCGAAAUAAAGUUGCAUUGCAGAAAAUAUUUUAUCAUUUGACUGAUCAGAUCAGCAGAGAGGCUUCUUGUUUUUCCACUAAAACAUUGCAUAGAGAUUGAUAGAGUGUCA
RNAcentral lists this unclassified non-coding RNA (1078 nucleotides) under Zea mays. RNAcentral's name for it is "misc RNA Zm00001eb066240". The record is from RNAcentral. Lineage: Eukaryota; Viridiplantae; Streptophyta; Magnoliopsida; Poales; Poaceae.